RNAcentral lists this ribosomal RNA (506 nucleotides) under uncultured bacterium. RNAcentral describes it as "partial 16S ribosomal RNA". It matches the Rfam family "Bacterial small subunit ribosomal RNA", at positions 29 to 523 of the family's 1533-position model. The record is from RNAcentral.
AGUGAACGCUGGCGGUAGGCCUAACACAUUCAAGUCGAACGGCAGCACAGGAGAGCUUGCUCUCUGGGUGGCGAGUGGCGGACGGGUGAGGAAUACAUCGGAAUCUACUCUGUCGUGGGGGAUAACGUAGGGAAACUUACGCUAAUACCGCAUACGACCUACGGGUGAAAGCAGGGGAUCUUCGGACCUUGCGCGAUUGAAUGAGCCGAUGUCGGAUUAGCUAGUUGGCGGGGUAAAGGCCCACCAAGGCGACGAUCCGUAGCUGGUCUGAGAGGAUAAUCAGCCACACUGGAACUGAGACACGGUCCAGACUCCUACGGGAGGCAGCAGUGGGGAAUAUUGGACAAUGGGCGCAAGCCUGAUCCAGCCAUACCGCGUGGGUGAAGAAGGCCUUCGGGUUGUAAAGCCCUUUUGUUGGGAAAGAAAUCCAGCUGGCUAAUACCCGGUUGGGAUGACGGUACCCAAAGAAUAAGCACCGGCUAACUUCGUGCCAGCCGCCGCGGUAA